This 742-nucleotide ribosomal RNA is filed under the name Salmonella enterica. RNAcentral's name for it is "partial 23S ribosomal RNA". It matches the Rfam family "Bacterial large subunit ribosomal RNA", at positions 2061 to 2802 of the family's 2925-position model. Lineage: Bacteria; Pseudomonadati; Pseudomonadota; Gammaproteobacteria; Enterobacterales; Enterobacteriaceae. RNAcentral also lists the same sequence under 2 other names. The record is from RNAcentral.
GCAGUGUACCCGCGGCAAGACGGAAAGACCCCGUGAACCUUUACUAUAGCUUGACACUGAACAUUGAGCCUUGAUGUGUAGGAUAGGUGGGAGGCUUUGAAGUGUGGACGCCAGUCUGCAUGGAGCCGGCCUUGAAAUACCACCCUUUAAUGUUUGAUGUUCUAACGUGGACCCGUGAUCCGGGUUGCGGACAGUGUCUGGUGGGUAGUUUGACUGGGGCGGUCUCCUCCUAAAGAGUAACGGAGGAGCACGAAGGUUGGCUAAUCCUGGUCGGACAUCAGGAGGUUAGUGCAAUGGCAUAAGCCAGCUUGACUGCGAGCGUGACGGCGCGAGCAGGUGCGAAAGCAGGUCAUAGUGAUCCGGUGGUUCUGAAUGGAAGGGCCAUCGCUCAACGGAUAAAAGGUACUCCGGGGAUAACAGGCUGAUACCGCCCAAGAGUUCAUAUCGACGGCGGUGUUUGGCACCUCGAUGUCGGCUCAUCACAUCCUGGGGCUGAAGUAGGUCCCAAGGGUAUGGCUGUUCGCCAUUUAAAGUGGUACGCGAGCUGGGUUUAGAACGUCGUGAGACAGUUCGGUCCCUAUCUGCCGUGGGCGCUGGAGAACUGAGGGGGGCUGCUCCUAGUACGAGAGGACCGGAGUGGACGCAUCACUGGUGUUCGGGUUGUCAUGCCAAUGGCACUGCCCGGUAGCUAAAUGCGGAAGAGAUAAGUGCUGAAAGCAUCUAAGCACGAAACUUGCCCCGA